AUUGAACGCUGGCGGAAUGCUUUACACAUGCAAGUCGAACGGUAGAGGGGCAACCCUCGAGAGUGGCGAACGGGUGAGUAAUAUAUCGGAACGUGCCCAGUCGUGGGGGAUAACGUAGCGAAAGUUACGCUAAUACCGCAUACGCCCUGAGGGGGAAAGCGGGGGACCGUAAGGCCUCGCGCGAUUAGAGCGGCCGAUAUCUGAUUAGCUUGUUGGUGGGGUAAAAGCCCACCAAGGCGACGAUCAGUAGCUGGUCUGAGAGGACGAUCAGCCACACUGGGACUGAGACACGGUCCAGACUCCUACGGGAGGCAGCAGUGGGGAAUUUUCCGCAAUGGGCGAAAGCCUGACGGAGCAAUACCGCGUGAGGGAAGAAUGCCUAUGGGUUGUAAACCUCUUUUUCAGGGAGGAACAAAAUGACGUGUACCUGAAGAAUAAGCAUCGGCUAACUCCGUG
Molecule: ribosomal RNA, 456 nt
Filed under: uncultured bacterium
Lineage: Bacteria
Description: bacterial SSU rRNA
Rfam family: Bacterial small subunit ribosomal RNA
Source: RNAcentral